Molecule: long non-coding RNA, 417 nt
Organism: Ipomoea nil (Japanese morning glory)
Lineage: Eukaryota; Viridiplantae; Streptophyta; Magnoliopsida; Solanales; Convolvulaceae
Exons: 4
Source: RefSeq, a predicted model, not a curated record
AAGCAGUAUCAUCACUCACUUUAUGAACAACAAGUUCCGUAACAAAUACGAGAUCUUAUGAGGAAUGUGAGGACUCAAGUAUUGCUCAAACUGAUCAAGCCUUACACAAGAAUUCGGAUCCCUUUCAUAUCCAAGGUCAAAGGGGAUGAAGAAAUACACUGCCGUGGAUAAGUGGAACACACAGCUUAGGUCCCUCUAUCAGACUGUUCGUUUGUGGUGCGUAUUAAGGUUUGACGAGCUCUUGCACGAAUUAAGGGUUGGCUCUCCACUUGUGUGCCUGAUCUGGUCAGCCAUCACAUAUGAACUAUCUUCUUCCUCUUAUAUUCUCUUCUCUGUUCCCCUUUGUUUUGGGUUUCAAGUUACAGAGAAGUUAUAUUUAGCCCGAGGAGACUUGAGGCUGCUUUUCAUAUUAAAGAA